GACGAACGCUGGCGGCGUGCCUAAUACAUGCAAGUCGAGCGAGACUCUUCGGAGUCUAGCGGCGGACGGGUGAGUAACACGUGGGCAACCUGCCUGUAAGACUGGGAUAACACCGGGAAACCGGUGCUAAUACCGGAUAAUCCUUUUCCUCUCAUGAGGAAAAGCUGAAAGUCGGUUUCGGCUGACACUUACAGAUGGGCCCGCGGCGCAUUAGCUAGUUGGUGAGGUAACGGCUCACCAAGGCGACGAUGCGUAGCCGACCUGGGAGGGUGGUCGGCCACACUGGGACUGAGACACGGCCCAGAAUCCUACGGGAGGCAGCAGUAGGGAAUCUUCCACAAUGGACGAAAGUCUGAUGGAGCAACGCCGCGUGAGCGAUGAAGGCCUUCGGGUCGUAAAGCUCUGUUGUUAGGGAAGAACAAGUACCGGAGUAACUGCCGGUACCUUGACGGUACCUAACCAGAAAGCCACGGCUAACUACGUGCCAGCAGCCGCCGUAA
RNAcentral lists this ribosomal RNA (500 nucleotides) under uncultured bacterium. Its description in RNAcentral is "partial 16S ribosomal RNA". It matches the Rfam family "Bacterial small subunit ribosomal RNA", at positions 28 to 523 of the family's 1533-position model. The record is from RNAcentral.